GCCUCUGAUGAUGAUCAAAUAAUAACUUUCGCUCUUCCGAGUUGUCCGUGUGGAAAAUUAAUGGAGACCUGAACUGAAGAGGC
Molecule: small nucleolar RNA, 83 nt
Organism: Prosopis cineraria
Lineage: Eukaryota; Viridiplantae; Streptophyta; Magnoliopsida; Fabales; Fabaceae
Product: small nucleolar RNA Z159/U59
Exons: 1
Source: RefSeq, a predicted model, not a curated record